This 570-nucleotide ribosomal RNA is filed under the name uncultured bacterium. RNAcentral describes it as "bacterial SSU rRNA". It matches the Rfam family "Bacterial small subunit ribosomal RNA", at positions 917 to 1482 of the family's 1533-position model. The record is from RNAcentral.
GGGCCCGCACAAGCGGCGGAGCAUGCGGAUUAAUUCGAUGCAACGCGAAGAACCUUACCAAGGCUUGACAUGGACCGGACCGGGCUGGAAACAGUCCUUCCCCUUUGGGGCCGGUUCACAGGUGGUGCAUGGUUGUCGUCAGCUCGUGUCGUGAGAUGUUGGGUUAAGUCCCGCAACGAGCGCAACCCUCGUUCCAUGUUGCCAGCGCGUAAUGGCGGGGACUCAUGGGAGACUGCCGGGGUCAACUCGGAGGAAGGUGGGGACGACGUCAAAUCAUCAUGCCCCUUAUGUCUUGGGCUUCACGCAUGCUACAAUGGCCGGUACAAAGGGUUGCGAUACUGUGAGGUGGAGCUAAUCCCAAAAAGCCGGUCUCAGUUCGGAUUGGGGUCUGCAACUCGACCCCAUGAAGUCGGAGUCGCUAGUAAUCGCAGAUCAGCAACGCUGCGGUGAAUACGUUCCCGGGCCUUGUACACACCGCCCGUCAAGUCACGAAAGUUGGUAACACCCGAAGCCGGUGGCCUAACCCCUUGUGGGAGGGANCUGUCGAAGGUGGGACUGGCGAUUGGGACU